UGGCUCAGGAUGAACGCUAGCUACAGGCUUAACACAUGCAAGUCGAGGGGCAGCAUGUGGUGCUUGCAACCAAUGAUGGCGACCGGCGCACGGGUGAGUAACGCGUAUCCAACCUUCCCUAUAGUAGAGGAUAGCCCGGCGAAAGUCGGAUUAAUACUCUAUGUUUUCCAAUGCAGACAUCUAAAAUGGAACAAAGGUUCACCGCUAUAGGAUGGGGAUGCGUCUGAUUAGAUAGUCGGCGGGGUAACGGCCCACCGAGUCGACGAUCAGUAGGGGUUCUGAGAGGAAGGUCCCCCACAUUGGAACUGAGACACGGUCCAAACUCCUACGGGAGGCAGCAGUGAGGAAUAUUGGUCAAUGGGCGAGAGCCUGAACCAGCCAAGUAGCGUGCAGGAAGACGGCCCUAUGGGUUGUAAACUGCUUUUAUACAGGGAUAAAGUGACGUACGUGUACGUUUUGUAGGUACUGUAUGAAUAAGGACCGGCUAAUUCCGUGCCAGCAGCUGC
This 506-nucleotide ribosomal RNA is filed under the name uncultured bacterium. RNAcentral describes it as "bacterial SSU rRNA". It matches the Rfam family "Bacterial small subunit ribosomal RNA", at positions 20 to 518 of the family's 1533-position model. The record is from RNAcentral.